Molecule: non-coding RNA, 31 nt
Filed under: unclassified sequences
Source: RNAcentral
GAUUGCAUUUCCUUUCUGUAAUUCGCGGCUG